AGCUGGUUGAAUCUGGGCCAAAU
This 23-nucleotide microRNA is filed under the name Melibe leonina. RNAcentral describes it as "mle-miR-133-5p". Its record names the gene mle-miR-133-5p. The record is from miRBase by way of RNAcentral. Lineage: Eukaryota; Metazoa; Mollusca; Gastropoda; Nudibranchia; Dendronotidae.